Molecule: non-coding RNA, 434 nt
Organism: Delphinapterus leucas (beluga whale)
Lineage: Eukaryota; Metazoa; Chordata; Mammalia; Artiodactyla; Monodontidae
Source: RefSeq, a predicted model, not a curated record
GUGGGAAGGCCGCGCGUUCUUUCUAACCUCACCUCUCUUUCAGAGAGGUGUACGGCGCUGUACGGCGGCGGAGGUACGGACGGUCCCGGGCCUGUGGCCGCUUGGCCUCCGACGGCUGGGGCGCCGCGGCCGGGCCGGGUCCGAGGCUCCCGGUUCCUGAACGCGUGUAGGACAGCGGCCUGGUCUGGCCUCCGCCACGUUGUCGGUUUAAGAUGGACGCUUGAAGCAUAGACUGCUGCUAGCUGACUACUUACUAUCUGGGAGCACAAAGAUGACCUAAGGAUGUCCUCGGUAAGGAACUUGACAACUUGAUCUUCGGGAGUUGCUUAGAGUAUUUAAAAUUUCCAGGAUUGCUAAAAAAAAUACUGCUUUUGGAUAGUCCAUAAAUGUACAUCUAAAACAGUGGGGCUAUAAAUAAAAUAAUUCAAUGGGCU